UUUUUGAUGUGGGAAGGGAUUUACAUCUCCCUGAAUUGAAGUUUGAUAUAAGAAUUGAAGACUGAACUCUAAAGAUGUUGGUUUGAAUCCCCACCUAUUCAUUAUCCUAAAAAUCUGGCAGAGCCAUGCAAUAUGAAGCGGAGAUUCUGUAGAAGAUGCUUCAGCAUACAAAUUGCCUAUGUUCAGGAGGAGAGAGACAAUUUUUGAAUGGAGCGUGAAGACAAGAAAAACUGAUUAAGUUAAGAGGAUGGCUGACAUUAAUACUAUGCCCCUAUUUCACCUGCGCUCUGAUGCUCAGCUUUGGCCAAGGAGUGCCCAGAACAGUUUAGGAGGGGAAGAGGUACACCUGCCUUGUGCAUUCACCUCUCUGCCCCUCACCUUGAGCUGUCUGGGCAGCAGGCUGGUUCCAAAGCGUAAAGGCCAACACAAGUGCUUAUCAUUUACACCAGCCGCCAAUGGAUCCAAAAGGGCAGGUAUUUUCAAGGUGUCUAUCACCAGGUCACCCAAGCAUGGUUUCUUAAAAGAAAUUGGAGGACUACGACACCAAGUACUUGAAGUCAAACAGGUUACAAGCUGCCUUUUAAUAUCAAAGACCAGUCUUCUUUCACGGGAAACAUAGAAGAAGAGGCUAAGGUGCAAAGAAAAAAAAAACUACACUACCCACUCUUGUGAAGAAGCAGAAGCAGAUGCAACCUCUCAAAACUACCCAGAUCUCAGAAUACUACAGAGGAGGAAGCCACCUUUUUUAUGGAACCAGGAGCAGGGACCAAUCUGGUUGUGCUAGCCCAGCCUCUCCUGACAACACAGCUUCUGCUGGAACAAUGCCUUUUCCUGGGUCUCCCCGUGGUGACUCAUUAGCUGUUCAAGGCAACUCAGGCCAAGACAACAUGGCAAAUAGUUUCCCCCCGACCCCACGUUCAGAUUUCUGAUCAGUGCGUGGAGAGGACACUUCUUCCCUCCUUCUGGGCAGAAAUGGGGAGAUCUAUGUGCAUACGCACAGGCACACACGUGUGCAUGCACCCAUCCCUACCUCCAGGAAACAAUCCAAUGAAUGUAGUUGUUUUGGUGAUGGGAUAAUAAAAUAGAGGCAUAAAAAAAUAAUCCCA
Molecule: long non-coding RNA, 1106 nt
Filed under: Chrysemys picta bellii (western painted turtle)
Lineage: Eukaryota; Metazoa; Chordata; Testudines; Emydidae
Description: lncRNA (ENSCPBG00000000752.1)
Source: RNAcentral